GUCACAGUGAGAGAGCCAUGAUGGAGGACGGGGUCACCCUGCUUGCCCAACGCGGGGAGCUCCGUCAUACAGAACCCCAGUGAGUUCUGGAGGUCACGCUCUGUUUCAUAAAUGAAAAGCUGGGGCAGGGGCCUUGCCACACGGACACUCCUCGGGCCUCACAAGCUCCUGUGGGUGACCAGGCUGCUCCCCACCGCCGGCGUGGGCUGUUGCUACCCUGCACAUCCCUCGGGUGGGCAGCGGUGCUUGAAACGCCAGCUCCCGCCCUUCCUGCCUAGUGGCUUGACGGCUUCAUUGUGCUAACCACCCAGGCAAGCUUGCGUGACUAACGGAGGAGCGUCUCCCCUUAGAUUCUUCCCGCCCGGAGCCGGGGACAGCAGGUUGUUUAUCACGGAAGGGCUGGGAAGAGCUUUUCAGAAAGGCCUUGGGGACUCUCUGUGUGGCAUGGAACAGAGAGUGCCUGCCCACCCCAGGCAGCCAGAUGCAGCCCCUGCCUGCUUCCCCCUCCCUGGCUAUGUGCGUUCCAGAAAACCACCUGACCUCCAGAUUCUCUCUCGUCCAGUGGAGAUUCUCCUGCCCGAAGGCAGGCGCUCUCCAAGGUCCCUCUCCCCAGAAGAGCCACGAUCCCAGGAAGCCGGCUUGUGCAGAGGAAAGAACCGCACCUCGUUGUCAGAACAACCCCAGCUCUGCCACCUACACCUUGUGUGACCUUGGGCAAGUCAGAGAAACUUCUCAGAUGCACAAUCUCGUCACGCUCCUAGUUUCCAAGCCCACACACCUGAGGGUCAAUGUCCCUUAUUGCACCCCCACCCCAUACCGACUCCAUCAGCAAGUCCUGUUUGUUCUUGCCCCAAGUAUCUCUCCUGUCUGCCCAUUCCCUGCAUCUCCCCCGUCACCACCCCGGGCCAGUCCCCGUUACCCGCACCUGGAGGUCUGCACCAGCCCCACCUGCACUCCGGCGUCCACUCUCGCCCCCAUUGCUGUGAUCUCCACACAACCACGAGCGGCCUUGAGAGCGCAGCGAGGCCGUGAGGCUGCGCAGAGCCCCUCAGUCAGCAGGACCGCGCUCACGGUUCAGUGGGCCGUCUGCUAGAGGCUUUCCGCAGUUCAUUCCUUCUCCCCACACAACUCUGAAGGUACGAUGAUGUACAAAAGAGGAAGCAAAGCACUGAACACAGAACCUGGCAAGCUGUAAUCAUCUGGCACAUCUGAACUGUCUGGGUGGUGUCUCCGCUGCUACCGCCUCAGUGCAGGUUUCCAUCAUCUGUUGCCUGUUGACCAUGAAACUCCCAACUCAAUCCUCUCACUCCAGCCUUCCUCAAACCCCAGUGUCUUCCACAUACUAGGACCAGAGUGAUCCUCUGAACAUAAAACUGAUUGAUAACAGAUCAUCCAAAUGGACUAAUAAUUGACCAAUUAAUAAUUGACAAUCAAAAAAUUCUCUCCUCAAAAAAAAAGGCAAGAAAACUGGCAAAAAAUGUCAAAAUCAACUUUUCUAGAACUCUGAAAGUUAACCACCAAAGGCUUGGAAUAAUCCGGGAAGCUUUUAUUUAAUUAAAAUGGCUGAGUCUUGGUAUGAACA
RNAcentral lists this long non-coding RNA (1582 nucleotides) under Homo sapiens (human). Its description in RNAcentral is "long independently transcribed non-coding RNA 385, transcript variant 2 (LINC00385)". Lineage: Eukaryota; Metazoa; Chordata; Mammalia; Primates; Hominidae. The record is from RNAcentral.